Molecule: transfer RNA, 73 nt
Filed under: Camelus bactrianus (Bactrian camel)
Lineage: Eukaryota; Metazoa; Chordata; Mammalia; Artiodactyla; Camelidae
Also listed under: 2 other names
Rfam family: tRNA
About the family: Transfer RNA (tRNA) molecules are approximately 80 nucleotides in length. Their secondary structure includes four short double-helical elements and three loops (D, anti-codon, and T loops).
Source: Rfam by way of RNAcentral
GAGGGCAUAGCUCAAGUGGUGGAGUGUAUGCUUAACAUGCAUAAGGUCCUGGGUUCAAGUCCCAGUACCUCCA